Molecule: long non-coding RNA, 2536 nt
Organism: Helianthus annuus (common sunflower)
Lineage: Eukaryota; Viridiplantae; Streptophyta; Magnoliopsida; Asterales; Asteraceae
Exons: 9
Source: RefSeq, a predicted model, not a curated record
CGGGAAAAUGGGAUGGUGCUCGCGAAUCUCUUUUUUGAGCAACCCGACCCACUGAAUUCGGACCCUAUAUAUUUAUGUAACCCUAAUUCCUUUUCAUUCUUCCUUGAGAAGCUACUAAUCUCUCUAUCUCCUUCUUCACCGUCCCUUCUUUUCUAAAACCUAGGUAUGAUUUUCGUUAACUAUCUUCUCAUCAUUCAAUUGAUUAUAUCAUCUCUGAGAAUAUCAAGUACAUUUCGGAUCCAGAUUUGUUCAAGAUCUGGACCGACCGGUGUUGACGAAAAAGGAAUUACUCUUUGUUUUCGGAAGGAUGUUUGUGGGUUUAGCUAUGACAUGUGCUGAUAAACUUUCUGAUGUACCGACUAAUCUUUAGGUCAUGUUUGGGGGUUUAGUUAUAAUCAUCUGUAUUAUAAUCGAUUUUCCUUUUGAUUGAAGGUUCUUCCUUAAUUUUGUUGUUUUUCAUGUAAUUUAUUCAUCUGUGUUAAAUCCAUAUUUUCCCCGUUUCGUUUAAUAACAAAAUCAUGUUAUAGUUGCGUAUAAUAGCACCAGAUUUACUUUGAAUAAGUAUGUUAUGUUAUAAUAGAUAAUGAUCAUGAUUUAUCGUUUUUUAUUUUGAUCUUUAUGUUCUUUGUUUCAUGAUUUCAUCAGAACAAGUUACAAUUCUGAUAUUUUGUCGGUUUAGUAUCCGUCGUUUUUAUGGUUUCUAGAUUUGAGGUCUUCUUUGCGUUUUGAUCAUUUAGGGUUUUUUAUACAUUUGUUAAAUCGUUGAUAAUUUAUCCUAUUAAGGAAUUGAUUUUAGGGUUUUUAUGCUUAACAAAUUUUUAACGCCCCUAAUUUAGUUUCUUUGAUUUUAGGGUUUUUUAGUUGUUAACAGAAUAACAUUUUGAGUUGGGUUUUCUGGAUCUGAGAUUAUUAUACUAUAAACUUGUGUUUGAUCUUAUUGUGAAUGAUAUGGUUUUGCAUGCUGAAUUUUGUUUGAAUUUAGAUUUUCAAGAACGCGUGUUUGAUCAAUUUCACACUUAGUCACAUGAUUAAUUUUGUUUUAUGUGAUGUUGGGGGUUCUAUAAUUUUAAUAUGGGAUUGUGGUUUGGUUGGGAUUGUGUGAUUUUGUUGCGAGAUUAGUGUAGCCACGGUGUUUGAUGAAAUGACUCUGUGAAGGAAGACAUGUUAUUGAUGGCAAGGCCGCCGGUGAAUACAUAUGGUUAACUUACAAGCAAGUCUAUGACACAAUAUUGAAGCUUGGAGAUUCCAUCUGCACUUGAGGAGGAAUUAACAAAGGGGCAAGAUGUGGAAUAUAUGGGACGAAUUGCCCAAAAUGGGUUGUAAGCAUGCAGGCCUGCAAUGCUCACAGUCUUCAUUGUGUCCCUUUAUAUGACACUCUAGGUAUGUAUCAUCCUUUUUGGUGCUUAGAUAUAACUCUAGGUUAUGUUCAUCAAUGGUCUUUUGCACACUGACAAUUCUGCUUGUGUGCAGCAGCAACUGACUUGAAUCUUUGGUAAUGGUUUUUUAAGGUGCUGGUGCAGUGAAAUACAUUAUAUGUCAUGCAGAGAUCUCAAUUAUAUUUGUAGAAGAGACUAAAAUUUUUGAGGUCGUUGGAAAAACGUCUCAGUUUUGUUUUACAUUGUCAUUAACAAGAUUUAUGAUUCUUGCCUUUGUAACCUUUUAGAGCUGUCUGUACACUAUCUUGCUUCUUUGUUUUUUAGUUUUUGAGAAAAAAAAAUCUCAUUAUUUAUAGGUAUUAAAAACGCUACCCUAUAAUGCAAAGUACUUGAAAAGUGAGUUUCUUGUCUAUUUUCAUCAUGUUUAUUUUAUGGUCCGCACAUGAAUUAAAUUGUUUUAUAGCUCUUGUGAGCUUUAGCACAAUCAUAAAUGAGCAGAAGCAAAUGGCUGAAACAUGUGGCUUGGAACUUUAUUCUUGGGAAACUUUUCUGCAUCUGGGAAGUUAAGACCAAUAUGAGUUGCCAUCAAAGAUGAGGAGUAAUGUCUGUACAAUCAUGUACACAAGUGGAACCACUGGGGAACCAAAAGAAGUUAUGAUCAAAGAUUGUACGGGAGGCGAUGGUGUCAUUUUCGUCAAGGACAGUCGUAGCUCCAAUAAUACUAUGUUCACAUAACUCAUUCUUCAUGCUGCAUUGUAGAUUUCUGGUUUUGAUUCAUGAUAUCUUAAUGAUUUUUUUUUUACGUUUAUACCCUUUAGGAUGUAUUGGAAAUUCUCCGCCUGUGCUUGCUAAGGCAUAAACUUUCAUGCAUGCUAGCGGUGAGUCUUAAGGUUGGAGCAAUUGUUUCAUGAUUUAAGAUGACAUGGAUUUGCUUUUUGGACAAUUUCGACUAUUGCCAAAAGGUGGGCUUGGGGGCACAAUGGGUAAAUGUCAUGCUGCUAUCGCUUGCUUUUCUAGUCUGAGUGAUAGGAGAUUCUGUUGGAUGUAUUGUUACGUGUAUUGAGAUAAACCUCCCACGUGUAACCACAACUCUGUUUUACCAUAUGUGUCUAUGACUCUUAUGUAUGGUCACGUGUGAUUAAUACUUAGAUAUCUGCAUG